AUGGACAAGGGCGACAUGCUCUGUUGCCACAUCCUCAAGGUGUUCACCCAUCUUGGAGUUGAUGUCAUACCGGAAAGGUACAUGCUAAGACGGUGGACACCUACUGCUGUCCCUAGUGCGCCAGGGACCGGGUAUGAGCAACCAGAUGAAAUGCGUCCUCAAUCAAAGAAGCAGAUAAGGGAGAGAAACAUGAUAUACGAUUUUCGGAAACUAGCCAAGUUUGCAAGUGGCUCUGAUGCAGCACAGAAAAUUGUAUACAAGCAUAUGCGCGGAGCACGCACCAAGAUCAGCCACCAGAACAAGUCCAAGAAAAAGAAAAAACCGGCUGCUGCUACUAGGCCAUCAGAUGAUGGCAACCCUCAAGGACCUCCUCCACCUCCAGGCUCUACACAGCAUGCUCCGCCACCUCCUCCCCCCGCCUGGCCCAAUAAGCAGUGCCCUGCGUCGUCCUCCCAAUGGCUCUACAGGCAUCACUCAGGGGGCUCGUCUUCCAGGUGA
RNAcentral lists this ribosomal RNA (498 nucleotides) under Triticum aestivum (bread wheat). RNAcentral's name for it is "partial small subunit ribosomal RNA". The record is from RNAcentral. Lineage: Eukaryota; Viridiplantae; Streptophyta; Magnoliopsida; Poales; Poaceae.